This 439-nucleotide ribosomal RNA is filed under the name uncultured bacterium. RNAcentral's name for it is "bacterial SSU rRNA". It matches the Rfam family "Bacterial small subunit ribosomal RNA", at positions 354 to 796 of the family's 1533-position model. The record is from RNAcentral.
GUGGGGAAUCUUGCACAAUGGGCGAAAGCCUGAUGCAGCGACGCCGCGUGGGGGAUGAAGCAUUUCGGUGUGUAAACCCCUUUCGACCGGGAAGAAUGCCUCGCAAGAGGAGUGACGGUACCGGUAUAAGAAGCCCCGGCUAACUACGUGCCAGCAGCCGCGGUAAGACGUAGGGGGCCAGCGUUGUUCGGAAUUACUGGGUGUAAAGGGUUCGUAGGCGGUGUGGCAAGUCGGGAGUGAAAUCUAUGGGCUUAACCCAUAGGCUGCUUCCGAAACUGCUGUGCUUGAGUGUGGGAGAGGCGCGUGGAAUUGCAGGUGUAGCGGUGAAAUGCGUAGAUAUCUGCAGGAACACCCGUGGCGAAAGCGGCGCGCUGGACCACAACUGACGCUGAGGAACGAAAGCUAGGGGAGCAAACAGGAUUAGAUACCCUAGUAGUCC